This 570-nucleotide ribosomal RNA is filed under the name Fusarium circinatum. Its description in RNAcentral is "partial 28S ribosomal RNA". The record is from RNAcentral. Lineage: Eukaryota; Fungi; Ascomycota; Sordariomycetes; Hypocreales; Nectriaceae.
CGGAAAAUAAAAAGUGGCCCACGAGGCGGUUCUGGCGUGCGGCCCACUAAAACGGUCUCGGAGGGUAUAUGAGAAGGGAGCAAAUCCGGCCGAGCCUGAAAGGGCGAGGGAAAACCGGACAAGCAACCUCUCGUACCUGAUCUUAAAGACUUCCAUUGCGUGUCCCUCUGUACAGCUUUGCAGGCUCCGGCCUCGGCAGCGGGGGGUUCAUAGUGGUCGUCGACCUCCACGAAACUGCUCGCCCCGGCGUGACAGCGUACUGGGGAUGCCUGUGUUUACGCAGUCCGGGCUUGCCUGGACCGCCAGCAGAUGGGCUCUGUGGAUGACUGGCCGCUGGCUAGACCUGAAACCUGAGCAACGGGAGGUAACCUCUCGCCGUGGACACCGGAAUGGUAGAAGCGGCGUGCUGCGUCCUCCUCUUGGGGCCCCUAAGCCACACCUCCCACAGCGGGUUCGGUGCGGCGGACGGACGCCCUGGGGAAUUUAGAGGGGGAAAGCGGAUUGCCCUAGCGGUGCUGUUGGCCCUGCCGACCUCACUGCGAAAGGCGCGACUUCACCGUCGCCACCCAG